Long non-coding RNA from Lemur catta (Ring-tailed lemur), 1018 nucleotides. RefSeq lists it as uncharacterized. The transcript has 3 exons. The record is from RefSeq and is a predicted model, not a curated record. NCBI's taxonomy places the organism in Eukaryota, Metazoa, Chordata, Mammalia, Primates, Lemuridae.
UGAGGCAAGACCCUCCACCAGCAAAAAAAUUAUGACUCACUGAAGGCCAGGUGAUCAUUAGCAUUAAAGUACUUUUCAAUUAAGAUGGAUGAUCCACUGGGCAAAAUUCAACCUGAAGGAGACGGAUAAAGGAAAAGAAUAAUUCUUGAGCUCAACUAUUCUGCAAGGGCAGAGCUAGCUGCUUUGCAUAUUUUAAUAUCAGCAAUUACCCAGUAAAGCAGGUAUUCUGAUUUCCUUUUUACAGAUGGAGAAUCUCUGACUCAUGUGGGCUUAGUAACUCAUCCAAGGACUCCUGCCUAGGAAGAGACAGUAACAUGGUUAUCCUGAAGUUUGGCAAGUUCCAAACAAGAGAAAAAGUCUCCAAGAGAAAAUGGGACUUUGGGUAGAAGAGAAGAACUCCCACUUACAAAGAGGAGAGAACAUCCAUGUGGUGAUGGCGGCAACACGUAGAGCCGUCUAAUCUGGUGCUGCCUGGGCAAACCAAUGCAAAAGUCAGAGGCACAAAAAGCCACUGCUCCUCAAGCCUGCAGCGCAUCACAGUCGCCUGGGCUGCCUGGUAAAAACAUGGUAUUCUCAGGGCCCUCCGAGACCUAUUGAACCAGCAUCUCUAGAGGUGAGAUUUUGGCAUUUCCCUUUUAAGAAGCACCCAUGGUGAAUUUUAACUAGUGAGAUGGGCACCAGUCUGCACAUAUAGUUUUAGGAACCACAUACUAGAAGGUUUGAGUCUGUCUCCUUUUUAGGAGCUGCUUGUCAAAGAUCUUUCUCUGAGGAGGAUAAGCUACAUUAUUCCGUCAGAAUUUAAUCAAACAUCAGGGACAGAGAUAGGGAAUGUGUGUUUCUCUCCCUUAUUUACUUUUUCCUCAUCAACAAACUGCUGAUAAGAAAAAAAAUCUCACAUAAAAUGUAUUGUUUUAUUGGCCUGUGCCACCAAUCAAUGGGAUUUUCUUUCCCUACUAUAUUCCGAUUCUUAUUAAUAAAAUGCAUUCUGCACUCCGACUGACAGAGGGCGCUGUUUUCU